GUACCAUUUGAGUAAAGAAACCCUGAAGAAGAUUCCAGCCCUAGCCAUUGUCUGCCUGCAACUGUAGGACCAGACAAUCAGAACAGAGCUUAACACCUAAGCUAGGGAGCAGAUGCUGGAAUGCCAUGACCUGCAAAAUGACUGUGCCCUACCACGCCUGCCAGCUGCCUCCCCAGAUGACACAUUCACCCGCUCUCGAACUGCAAGUGCUGGCACAUAACUGCCUCAGAUCUGGACAAAUGUACGUGUGGGAUGUAAGACAGGUUUU
RNAcentral lists this long non-coding RNA (268 nucleotides) under Homo sapiens (human). Its description in RNAcentral is "HSALNT0359240". Lineage: Eukaryota; Metazoa; Chordata; Mammalia; Primates; Hominidae. The record is from RNAcentral.